UCGCGGCUUAUCACCGGCAGUCCCCCUAGAGUGCCCAACUGAAUGAUGGCAACUAAGGGCGAGGGUUGCGCUCGUUGCGGGACUUAACCCAACAUCUCACGACACGAGCUGACGACAGCCAUGCACCACCUGUGCACAGGCCCCGAAGGGCUGCCGUGUUUCCACGACAUUCCUGUGCAUGUCAAGCCCUGGUAAGGUUCUUCGCGUUGCGUCGAAUUAAUCCGCAUGCUCCGCCGCUUGUGCGGGCCCCCGUCAAUUUCUUUGAGUUUUAAUCUUGCGACCGUACUCCCCAGGCGGCGCGUUUAACGCGUUAGCUCCGGCACAGAAGGGGUCGAAUCCUCCCACACCAAACGCGCACCGUUUACUGCCAGGACUAC
Molecule: unclassified non-coding RNA, 377 nt
Filed under: uncultured bacterium
Lineage: Bacteria
Description: contains 16S-23S intergenic spacer region
Source: RNAcentral